GAAGCAAGGGCAUUUUAAUCGAUAUUAGAACGAGAAGGAUGGAUGCAGAGUGCACGCACAAGGAAACAAAUGACGGGAUGAGGAAGAAAGGGGAAUGAGUUUAUGUAUUUGCAGCGCGAAAUUUAACAGGUGCGAUCAUACCAGCACAAAUGCACCGGAUCCCAUCAGAACUCCGCAGUUAAGUGUGCUUUGGUGAAAGUAGUACAAUGAUGGGUUACCUCGUGGGAAGUUCUCGUGUUGCACCCAUUUUCUUUUUUUCAGAUGUGCCGUUCGACGUUACGCGCGACUUUAAUUAUGGUCCGCAGAUUUAUUCGCAAAUGUGAGUCACGGCGCCGUGGCAUUGUACUUGAUAUUUGAACGAGAACGAGAGGUGCAGUGCGCACGCACUUGGAAACAAAUGACGGGAGGGGGAAGAAAGGAGAAAGAAUUUAUGUUUUUGCAGCGCAAAAUUAAACAGGUUCGAUCAUACCAGCACUAAUGCACCGGAUCCCAUCAGAACUCUGCAAUUAAGUGUGCUUGGGCGAGAGUAGUACUCGGAUGGGUGACCUCCUGGGAAGUCCUCGUGUCGCACUAAUUUUUUUGCUCAGACGGGUCGUUCGACGUUACGCGCGACUGGAACUAGGGUCCACUGGUUUAUACGCAAAUGUGAGUCAAGAAGCAAGGGCAUUUUAAUCGAUAUUAGAACGAGAAGGAUGGAUGCAGAGUGCACGCACAAGGAAACAAAUGACGGGAGGAGGAAGAAAGGGGAAUGAGUUUAUGUAUUUGCAGCGCAAAAUUUUAACAGGUGCGAUCAUACCAGCACAAAUGUACCGGGAUCCCAUCAGAACUCCGCAGUUAAGUGUGCUUUGGUGAAAGUAGUACAAUGAUGGGUUACCUCGUGGGAAGUUCUCGUGUUGCACCCUUUUCUUUUUUCAGAUGUGCCGUUCGACGUUACGCGCGACUUUAAUUAUGGUCCGCAGAUUUAUUCGCAAAUGUGAGUCACGGCGCCGUGGCAUUGUACUUGAUAUUUGAACGAGAACGAGAGGACGCACUUGGAAACAAAUGACGGGAGGGGGAAGGAAGGAGAUAGAAUUUAUGUAUUUGCAGCGCGAAAUUAAACAGGUGCGAUCAUACCAGCACUAAUGCACCGGAUCCCAUCAGAACUCCGCAGUUAAGUGUGCUUGGGCGAGAGUAGUACUCGGAUGGUUGACCUCCUGGGAAGUCCUCGUGUCGCACUAAUUUUUUUUUCAGACGGGUCGUUCGACGUUACGCGCGACUGGAACUAGGGUCCACUGGUUUAUACGCAAAUGUGAGUCAAGAAGCAAGGGCAUUUUGAUCGAUAUUAGAACGAGAAGGAUGGAUGCAGAGUGCACGCACAAGGGAACAAAUGACGGGAGGAGGAAGAAAGGGGAAUGAGUUUAUGUAUUUGCAGCGCAAAAUUUAACAGGUGCGAUCAUGCCAGCACAAAUGCACCGGAUCCCAUCAGAACCCCGCAGUUAAGUGUGCUUUGGUGAAAAUAGUACAAUGAUGGGUUACCUCGUGGGAAGUUCUCGUGUUGCACCCAUUUUUUUUUUUCAGAUGUGCCGUUCGACGUUACGCGCGACUUUAAUUAUGGUCCGCAGAUUUAUUCGCAAAUGUGAGUCACGGCGCCGUGGCAUUGUACUUGAUAUUUGAACGUGCAGUGCGCACGCACUUGGAAACAAAUUACGGGAGGGGGAAGGAAGGAGAUAGAAUUUAUGUAUUUGCAGCGCGAAAUUAAACAGGUGCGAUCAUACCAGCACUAAUGCACCGGAUCCCAUCAGAACUCCGCAGUUAAGUGUGCUUGGGCGAGAGUAGUACUUGGAUGGGUGACCUCCUGGGAAGUCCUCGUGUCGCACUAAUUUUUUUUUUUCAGACGGGUCGUUCGACGUUACGCGCGACUGGAACUAGGGUCCACUGGUUUAUACGCAAAUGUGAGUCAAGAAGCAAGGGCAUUUUGAUCGAUAUUAGAACGAGAAUGAUG
This 1981-nucleotide long non-coding RNA is filed under the name Carica papaya (papaya). Lineage: Eukaryota; Viridiplantae; Streptophyta; Magnoliopsida; Brassicales; Caricaceae. The record is from RNAcentral.